UACAGAGGUGGCAAGCGUUGUUCGGAUUUAUUGGGCGUAAAGGGUUCGUAGGCGGACCGGAAAGUCUGAUGUGAAAUCCCACAGCUCAACUGUGGAACUGCAUUGGAAACUUCCGGACUAGAGUGUGAGAGGGGUAAAGGGAAUUCCCGGUGUAAGGGUGAAAUCUGCAGAGAUCGGGAGGAACACCAGUCGCGAAGGCGCUUUACUGGCUCACUACUGACGCUCAGGAACGAAAGCUAGGGUAGCAAACGGGAUUAGAAACCCUUGUAGU
This 271-nucleotide ribosomal RNA is filed under the name uncultured bacterium. Its description in RNAcentral is "partial 16S ribosomal RNA". It matches the Rfam family "Bacterial small subunit ribosomal RNA", at positions 524 to 794 of the family's 1533-position model. The record is from RNAcentral.